Molecule: ribosomal RNA, 440 nt
Filed under: uncultured bacterium
Lineage: Bacteria
Description: partial 16S ribosomal RNA
Rfam family: Bacterial small subunit ribosomal RNA
Source: RNAcentral
CCUACGGGUGGCUGCAGUGGGGAAUAUUGCACAAUGGGGGAAACCCUGAUGCAGCGACGCCGCGUGAGUGAAGAAGUAUUUCGGUAUGUAAAGCUCUAUCAGCAGGGAAGAAAAUGACGGUACCUGACUAAGAAGCCCCGGCUAACUACGUGCCAGCAGCCGCGGUAAUACGUAGGGGGCAAGCGUUAUCCGGAUUUACUGGGUGUAAAGGGAGCGUAGACGGCCCUGCAAGUCAGGAGUGAAAUCCCAUGGCUUAACCAUGGUACUGCUCUGGAAACUGUGGAGCUUGAGUGCAGGAGGGGGAAGCGGAAUUCCUAGUGUAGCGGUGGAAUGCGUAGAUAUUAGGAGGAACACCGGCGGCGAAGGCGGCUGGCUGGACCGUAACUGACGUUGAGGCUCGAAAGCGUGGGGAGCGAACAGGAUUAGAUACCCCUGUAGUC